UUCUCCUGGGAAAACGGUGGUAAUGCCGGAUGUUCCACAUGAUCGCAUGUGAUUGUGGGAAAGAUUCUAUCGGCGUGGGAUGGGGUCGCGUCCUAUCAGCUUGUUGGUGAGGUAACGGCUCACCAAGGCUUCGACGGGUAGCCGGCCUGAGAGGGCGACCGGCCACAUUGGGACUGAGAUACGGCCCAGACUCCUACGGGAGGCAGCAGUGGGGAAUAUUGCACAAUGGGCGCAAGCCUGAUGCAGCGACGCCGCGUGAGGGAUGGAGGCCUUCGGGUUGUAAACCUCUUUUGUUUGGGAGCAAGCCUUCGGGUGAGUGUACCUUUCGAAUAAGCGCCGGCUAACUACGUGCCAGCAGCCGCGGUAAUACGUAGGGCGCAAGCGUUAUCCGGAUUUAUUGGGCGUAAAGGGCUCGUAGGCGGCUCGUCGCGUCCGGUGUGAAAGUCCAUCGCUUAACGGUGGAUCUGCGCCGGGUACGGGCGGGCUGGAGUGCGGUAGGGGAGACUGGAAUUCCCGGUGUAACGGUGGAAUGUGUAGAUAUCG
Molecule: ribosomal RNA, 543 nt
Filed under: Bifidobacterium bifidum
Lineage: Bacteria; Bacillati; Actinomycetota; Actinomycetes; Bifidobacteriales; Bifidobacteriaceae
Description: bacterial SSU rRNA
Rfam family: Bacterial small subunit ribosomal RNA
Source: RNAcentral